RNAcentral lists this ribosomal RNA (497 nucleotides) under uncultured bacterium. RNAcentral's name for it is "partial 16S ribosomal RNA". It matches the Rfam family "Bacterial small subunit ribosomal RNA", at positions 28 to 507 of the family's 1533-position model. The record is from RNAcentral.
GAUGAACGCUGGCGGCGUGCCUAAUACAUGCAAGUCGAGCGAACAGACGAGGAGCUUGCUCCUCUGACGUUAGCGGCGGACGGGUGAGUAACACGUGGAUAACCUACCUAUAAGACUGGGAUAACUUCGGGAAACCGGAGCUAAUACCGGAUAAUAUAUUGAACCGCAGGGUUCAAUAGUGAAAGACGGUUUUGCUGUCACGUAUAGAUGGAUCCGCGCCGCAUUAGCUAGUUGGUAGGGUAACGGCUUACCAAGGCAACGAUGCGUAGCCGACCGGAGAGGGGGAUAGGCGACACGGGAACUGAGACAGGGUCAAGACGCCUACGGGAGGCAGCAGUAGGGAAUCGUCCGCAAUGGGCGAAAGCCUUGCGGAGCAACGCCGCGUGAGUGAUGAAGGUCUUCGGAUCGUAAAACUCUGUUAUUAGUGAAGAACAAAUGUGUAAGUAACUAUGCACGUCGUGACGGUACCUAAUCAGAAAGCCACGGCUAACUACGUG